RNAcentral lists this ribosomal RNA (779 nucleotides) under Streptococcus equinus. RNAcentral's name for it is "bacterial SSU rRNA". It matches the Rfam family "Bacterial small subunit ribosomal RNA", at positions 1 to 762 of the family's 1533-position model. Lineage: Bacteria; Bacillati; Bacillota; Bacilli; Lactobacillales; Streptococcaceae. The record is from RNAcentral.
UUGGAGAAGUUUUGAAUCUGGCUCAGGACGAACGCUGGCGGCGUGCCUAAUACAUGCAAGUAGAACGCUGAAGACUUUAGCUUGCUAAAGUUGGAAGAGUUGCGAACGGGUGAGUAACGCGUAGGUAACCUGCCUACUAGCGGGGGAUAACUAUUGGAAACGAUAGCUAAUACCGCAUAACAGCAUUUAACCCAUGUUAGAUGCUUGAAAGGAGCAAUUGCUUCACUAGUAGAUGGACCUGCGUUGUAUUAGCUAGUUGGUGAGGUAACGGCUCACCAAGGCGACGAUACAUAGCCGACCUGAGAGGGUGAUCGGCCACACUGGGACUGAGACACGGCCCAGACUCCUACGGGAGGCAGCAGUAGGGAAUCUUCGGCAAUGGGGGCAACCCUGACCGAGCAACGCCGCGUGAGUGAAGAAGGUUUUCGGAUCGUAAAGCUCUGUUGUAAGAGAAGAACGUGUGUGAGAGUGGAAAGUUCACACAGUGACGGUAACUUACCAGAAAGGGACGGCUAACUACGUGCCAGCAGCCGCGGUAAUACGUAGGUCCCGAGCGUUGUCCGGAUUUAUUGGGCGUAAAGCGAGCGCAGGCGGUUUAAUAAGUCUGAAGUUAAAGGCAGUGGCUUAACCAUUGUUCGCUUUGGAAACUGUUAGACUUGAGUGCAGAAGGGGAGAGUGGAAUUCCAUGUGUAGCGGUGAAAUGCGUAGAUAUAUGGAGGAGACACCGGUGGCGAAAGCGGCUCUUCUGGUCUGUAACUGACGCUGAGGCUCGAAAGCUG